AGCGAACGCUGGCGGCAGGCUUAACACAUGCAAGUCGAGCGGGCGUAGCAAUACGUCAGCGGCAGACGGGUGAGUAACGCGUGGGAACGUACCUUUUGGUUCGGAACAACACAGGGAAACUUGUGCUAAUACCGGAUAAGCCCUUACGGGGAAAGAUUUAUCGCCGAAAGAUCGGCCCGCGUCUGAUUAGCUAGUUGGUGAGGUAAUGGCUCACCAAGGCGACGAUCAGUAGCUGGUCUGAGAGGAUGAUCAGCCACAUUGGGACUGAGACACGGCCCAAACUCCUACGGGAGGCAGCAGUGGGGAAUAUUGGACAAUGGGCGCAAGCCUGAUCCAGCCAUGCCGCGUGAGUGAUGAAGGCCCUAGGGUUGUAAAGCUCUUUUGUGCGGGAAGAUAAUGACGGUACCGCAAGAAUAAGCCCCGGCUAACUUCGUGC
RNAcentral lists this ribosomal RNA (436 nucleotides) under uncultured bacterium. Its description in RNAcentral is "bacterial SSU rRNA". It matches the Rfam family "Bacterial small subunit ribosomal RNA", at positions 29 to 508 of the family's 1533-position model. The record is from RNAcentral.